CUGUACGGCAAACUUUAUUCACUCAGGAUAGUAACAUCGUUUACAAUGCAAUCAAGGAUAAAACUAGGGGGCUCAUCGUCCCAUAUACAAUUUUGCUUUGUUUGCAUUGCUCUUCUUGCAAGUAAGUGAGCAGCUUGAUUCGCCUCACGAUAACAGUGCUCGAUACUUAUCUCCUGAAAACCAUUCCACACUAUAUUGCAUUCAUCAUAUAUAGGCGCAGCCGAGUUUGCCGUGAAUCCACCAUCCCUCAUGAUCUGGACCACCUCCAUACAGUCUGAUUGAACAAUCAACCGAUUGCAUCCGAUGUGCUGCGCUAGCAUCAACCCCUCCUUCAGUGCAUAAGCCUCUGCCAUCGGAGCAUCGAUUAAAUGGGGCAAAUAGCUAUGAGCAGCAGCUAAGAUGCCUCCGUUGCUAUCCCUUAUGAUCGAUCCCACACUGCCUCUUCCUCCAUCUUCAUCAAAGGCCGCAUCAACAUUCACCAUUACUUUUCCUUUAGUGGGUUUCUUCCAUCCCUGCCUCAGCUUUGACCCUUUCUUCAUUGCAUUUUGAUAAUUCUUUGUGAGCGCUGCGAUGGACAUAGCUGACCUUGCUGGAAGCUGGACCUCCUCCCCAUGCACGAUCUGUCUUCUCUCCCACCAAAGAUACCAGCCCGCAGUAAGCACCAAUUCCGCUAACCCCACGUUCAGAGUAUCGAUCAGCUCUUCUCUUCUAAUUAUUUCAUCAAUCACCACUGAGCCUGAACGAUCAAUGGUAAGAUAAUAUUGUAAUCUCUCCCUAACACCCAGAGCUUGCCAUACUUCCCGUGCUCGAUCACAGGUAAACAGCAGAUGUUUGAUGUCCUCCGCUCCAUUCUGACAAACCGGGCAUCCUCCCAACUGCCCAAUAU
This 886-nucleotide long non-coding RNA is filed under the name Setaria italica (foxtail millet). RNAcentral describes it as "long non-coding RNA (SITA_LNC000415)". The record is from RNAcentral. Lineage: Eukaryota; Viridiplantae; Streptophyta; Magnoliopsida; Poales; Poaceae.